This is a long non-coding RNA of Scylla paramamosain (green mud crab), 1151 nucleotides long. RefSeq lists it as uncharacterized. Lineage: Eukaryota; Metazoa; Arthropoda; Malacostraca; Decapoda; Portunidae. The record is from RefSeq and is a predicted model, not a curated record. The transcript has 5 exons.
GUGAGAGGGGGUGUAUGUGUCGUCUCGGGCUCUUCAGUGGAUUAUCCUGUACUUCUGUUUGACAUUAGUGCUUUCGGUGGUAGGGGAGGAGAAAUAUUGCUGUGAGGAUGCUAGUGAGGGUGUGAGGUGAGAAUUAAGGGCGUGGAGGGAGUGAGUGGGUGGAAAAGGGUUUGUUUGAGUGUUGUGAUCGAUACUGAGGGACAGGGAGGCGAGAAAACGUGUUGUUAUUAUUAUUGUUUGCGGAAAGGUGAUCUGUUCCACCCGCCAUCUUUGGAUUAAUAACAGGUGGUGGUCUGGGUGGAUUUAAUUACGCGCAAAUCGUCUGCUUCACCUGCCACCGUUGAUAUUAAAGGUGGUGAGGGCGUCCUGAUGUAAGAAGUAGUGCUGGUGGUUGCGCCCUUCUCUACGCCACCACUUCGACCACUACCUUCACCACCACGACCUCCAUCAUCUCCCGCUUCUCCUUCUGCGCCUCCGCCUCCUCCUCCUCCUCCGCCUCCACCUCUGUCGUGUUCCCCGUCGUUAGUGACUCCUCCACGACCACCAGGUGCCUCGCCAGGUUCUCUUCGUGUGGGCGUGGAUGAGGAUGAAGGACCAGGGCUGAAAGAAUUAAGUUAUACGACAGAAGUCAACAACAAUAAUUAAACCACAAUCACAACAACAACAACAACAACAGCAACAACAACAACAACAACAACAACAGCAACAACAACAUCAACAACAACAACUACUACAACAACAACAAAUAAAUGAACAAACAAGCAAAUAUUUAAAUAGGAGUGUAGACAAAUGAGACAUUCAUUUACUGUUUUAUCUCUCUCUCUCUCUCUCUCUCUCUCUCUCUCUCUCUCUCUCUCUCUCUCUCUCUCUCUCUCUCUCUCUCUCUCUCUCUCUCUCUCUCUCUCUCUCGCUGUUGUGAGUUCAUGGGUUCUAGGAAACUAAACAGUAUAUUAUAACACGUAGGUACAUGUGCACCAGAGACCACACACACACACACACACACACACACACACACACACACACACACACACACACACACACACACACACACACACACACACACACACACACACACACACACACACACACACACACACACACACACACACACACACACACACACACACACACUUGGUGGUUGUGUCUGGGCC